RNAcentral lists this ribosomal RNA (17 nucleotides) under Lactarius uvidus. RNAcentral's name for it is "partial 28S ribosomal RNA". Lineage: Eukaryota; Fungi; Basidiomycota; Agaricomycetes; Russulales; Russulaceae. The record is from RNAcentral. RNAcentral also lists the same sequence under 2 other names.
UUGACCUCAAAUCGGGU